Molecule: long non-coding RNA, 784 nt
Organism: Heterocephalus glaber (naked mole-rat)
Lineage: Eukaryota; Metazoa; Chordata; Mammalia; Rodentia; Bathyergidae
Source: RefSeq, a predicted model, not a curated record
GCGUGUUGCGGGACCUUUCGCAAGGCUAAAACAGGUCCUCUGGGAGGUGGCUUCCCGGGCUCCAUGGUAACAGCUCCGCGUCACCUGCCUGCGACUUCGUUCCCUUGGGUGGACAGAGCAAAUUUGAAAAGGUCGAGGGAUCUGAGCCCAACAGCCAGCUCUGCAUCCCCAUCCUGAGGUUGGAGAGACCAGGAUCAGACAUUGGCGGUGUUUGGCCCCUCUGGACACCGGUCUGCGGAAGGAGAGGCCACCCUGACGGUAUUCUGGGGCUCCGGGUAGACCUGUCCUAGUUGGGCUCUAUCGCCAAUCAACCGACCCGCAAGAGUUUAUCAGGAAAGCCUCUAGAGCCAGCCUGGGAUGACUGCCAACAGCUUUUACAGAUCCUGUUCACCACUGAGGAGCGGACCGCAUUUAUCAACAGACAGUCAAAGAGGCCCUGGGGCCAAACCCUGGCAUCACUCCUGGAACUCCGGGGCAUUCAGCCAAGGCUGAAACAGUAGUUCCAUCGUGACACCCCGAAUGGGACCCCAAUGAUGAUGACGUCUCUUCAAGCCUUACAGAUUCUUCAGAGUGAGAUCCAGGCUACAAUACAACAGGUUUGAGAAAAACCCUUUGCAAUGUUCCAGCCCCAUGGUUUCAAGCCAGGAGACCUGGUCCUGAUAUGCUUGGUUUGCUUGCACUGAGGACUUGACUAAAAACAUUCCCAAAUCAGUCUUGGCUACCCAAUCUGCCACUUUAUUUUGUGUCACCAUGUAUGUUGUUCCACAAGUCUUGUAUUAUAAUA